CGAGAGAGAGAGAGAGAGAGGACAAGAUGGCGAGGAGUCACAUAGAACGAGGACGUGCUGCACUGGCGUGGCGUGGCGUUGAGGGAAGCGCCUCUUUGUAAUCCUGCCCAGCACUUUACUGAACACAUGAAGGUGCUCCAGAGUUUCAAGAAGGGAGUGGCACACACACACUUUGCUGCACUCCAAGCUUGUGGAGGUCCAGCAGCACACCGCACACUGCUUU
Molecule: long non-coding RNA, 223 nt
Organism: Portunus trituberculatus (swimming crab)
Lineage: Eukaryota; Metazoa; Arthropoda; Malacostraca; Decapoda; Portunidae
Exons: 3
Source: RefSeq, a predicted model, not a curated record